RNAcentral lists this ribosomal RNA (109 nucleotides) under Patescibacteria group bacterium. The record is from RNAcentral.
UCUGGUGAUUUUAGCGGCUGGGAAACACCCGAUCCCAUCUCGAACUCGGCAGUUAAGCCAGCCAGCGCCGAUGAUACUCUUUAUUGGGGAAAGUAGGUCAUUGCCAGUU